AUUGAACGCUGGCGGCAGGCCUAACACAUGCAAGUCGAGCGAGCGGCGGACGGGUGAGGAAUGGCAGGGAAACUGCCUGAUGGAGGGGGCUAACGGCUGGAGACGGUAGCUAAUACCGCAUACAAUUGGACGUGCGCAGAUGGGAUUAGCUAGUGGGUGGGGUAACGGCCCACCCAGGGGACGGUCCCUAGCGGGGCUGAGAGGAUGACCAGUCACACUGGAACUGAGACACGGUCCAGACUCCUACGGGAGGCAGCAGUGGGGAAUAUUGCACAAUGGGCGCAAGCCUGAUGCAGCCAUGCCGCGUGUGUGAAGAAGGUCUUCGGGUUGUAAAGCACUUUCAGCUGGGAGGCGUUACCCGCAGAAGAAGCACCGGCUAACUCCGUGCCAGCAGCCGCGGUAAUAC
RNAcentral lists this ribosomal RNA (406 nucleotides) under uncultured bacterium. RNAcentral's name for it is "partial 16S ribosomal RNA". It matches the Rfam family "Bacterial small subunit ribosomal RNA", at positions 29 to 526 of the family's 1533-position model. The record is from RNAcentral.